This 239-nucleotide long non-coding RNA is filed under the name Brassica rapa (field mustard). RNAcentral's name for it is "long non-coding RNA (BRAP_LNC002789)". Lineage: Eukaryota; Viridiplantae; Streptophyta; Magnoliopsida; Brassicales; Brassicaceae. The record is from RNAcentral.
UCCAGUCCGGAUUCUUGAACCUCAGUCCGUCCAUUUGAGUAGUCUGAAUCUCAGCCUGCAACAUUUGGUAUCAGAGCUUAAGGCUCCUGAAAAAUCGGUUAUAUCUUGUCCUUAAGACAACUUGCUUGCCGGUUUUGUGUUAAUCAUUCAUUUGCAUUACAAAAAAAAAAAAAAAUAUAUAUAUAUAUAUAUAUAUAUAUAAAAGUUGUUCUUGCUGUUCUUGCUGUUCUUGAUUGUUC